CCACCUCGCGCUCCGCCGUGGUCCCGGCGCCGGGUCCCGGAGACAGACGUUACGCGGGCUCGAGCGUCCUCGGGGAGUGCCAGCCAGAGUUGGUGACGACCACUUCCUCGACGUGGGGCGGGCGGACGGGAAGCCUGGGGUCGUGGCCACCGCCUCGGGAGCUCUGGGAGCCCGGGUGACCGCGUAGAAAUGAACACAGAAGCGGAGCAACAGCUUCUCCAUCACGCCAGAAAUGGCAAUGCUGAAGAAGUAAGACAACUAUUAGAGACCAUGGCGAGGAAUGAAGUGAUUGCUGACAUUAAUUGCAAAGAGGUGAAGACAUCGAGUCAGAAGGUGGCACCAGAUCUGCACCUUGAAGAAGUAAGUCUAACUUGGGCUGGACACCUCUACAUCUGGCAUGCUAUUUUGGACACAGACAAGUGGUCCAGGAUCUGUUGAAGGCUGGUGCAGAAGUGAAUGUGUUGAAUGACAUGGGAGACACGCCGCUUCAUCGAGCUGCCUUUACAGGACGAAAGGUGAAAAUCAUUCUAUGUUCAAUGUUUGUAAGUGAGGUAUUUGGAGGAGUAGUUACCAUUGUUUUCUCUGUUAUAACCAUCUGACCAGCAACCGAAGAAAGCCACACAAAAAAAUGUAUACACCAGCACUUUGGGUCAAAAGGCCACAGGAUCUUUGAGUCUGACAGUGAGGUCCAGUACUAAGGUCAUGGAGACCCCCACUCUGUAGCAUCCCUGUGAGGAGAUCAUUCCGUUUCUGCUUGUGUACUCCAGCAAUGGGGAACUCCUGAUUAUUCUUUUUUUUAAAAAAAAAAUAGCUUCAUUGAGGUAUAACUUACAUUGCAUAAACUUCACCUGUGAUAUUGUGAAAUAUAUAUUUGGUCUUUGACCUUGUACACUAAAGAUGUACAAAAAGAUGGCUGGCAACCCCUAGGUGGCUUCAGGAUGGGGGCUGGUCACCAGAAAGACCAAGGCAGGACUAGGGGGUUGGGACUUUCAGCCGAACUUU
This 1002-nucleotide long non-coding RNA is filed under the name Homo sapiens (human). RNAcentral's name for it is "non-protein coding lnc-ZNF521-4:1". Lineage: Eukaryota; Metazoa; Chordata; Mammalia; Primates; Hominidae. The record is from RNAcentral.